Molecule: ribosomal RNA, 253 nt
Filed under: uncultured bacterium
Lineage: Bacteria
Description: partial 16S ribosomal RNA
Rfam family: Bacterial small subunit ribosomal RNA
Source: RNAcentral
UACGGAGGGUGCAAGCGUUAUCCGGAUUCACUGGGUUUAAAGGGCGCGUAGGUGGGCAAGUAAGUCAGUGGUGAAAUCUCCGGGCUUAACCCGGAAACUGCCAUUGAUACUAUUUGUCUUGAGUACUGUGGAGGUCAGCGGAAUAUGUCAUGUAGCGGUGAAAUGCUUAGAUAUGACAUAGAACACCAAUUGCGAAGGCAGCUGGCUACACAAAUAUUGACACUGAGGCACGAAAGCGUGGGGAUCAAACAGG